Molecule: ribosomal RNA, 375 nt
Filed under: uncultured organism
Description: partial 16S ribosomal RNA
Rfam family: Bacterial small subunit ribosomal RNA
Source: RNAcentral
GUAGGGGGCGAGCGUUGUCCGGAUUUAUUGGGCGUAAAGAGCUCGUAGGCGGCUCAGCAAGUCGGCCGUGAAAGCCUGAGGCUCAACCUCAGGACGCCGGUCGAAACUGCUGUGGCUAGGGUUCGGUAGAGGAGAGUGGAAUUCCCGGUGUAGCGGUGAAAUGCGCAGAUAUCGGGAGGAACACCAGUAGCGAAGGCGGCUCUCUGGGCCGAUACCGACGCUGAGGAGCGAAAGCUAGGGGAGCGAACAGGAUUAGAUACCCUGGUAGUCCUAGCUGUAAACGUUGGGCACUAGGUGUGGCGGACUCAUUGACGUCUGCCGUGCCGAAGCUAACGCAUUAAGUGCCCCCCGCCUGGGAGUACGGUCGCAAGGCUA